CCCUUAGAUGUUCUGGGCCGCACGCGCGCUACACUGAUGCAUUCAACGAGUCUAAAACCUGCUCUGAUAGGGGUGGGUAAUCUUUUGAAUGUGCAUCGUGAUUGGGAUAGAUGAUUGCAAUUUCUCAUCUUCAACGAGGAAUGCCUAGUAAACGCAAGUCAUCAGCUUGCAUUGAUUACGUCCCUGCCCUUUGUACACACCGCCCGUCGCUCCUACCGAUUGAAUGAUCCGAUGAAUAUCAUGGAUUGAGGAUGCAAGCAGGUUCGCCUGUCUUCAUCUUCGAGAAGUGAAGUAAAUCUUAUCAUUUAGAGGAAGGAGAAGUCGUAACA
This 329-nucleotide ribosomal RNA is filed under the name uncultured eukaryote. Its description in RNAcentral is "partial 18S ribosomal RNA". It matches the Rfam family "Eukaryotic small subunit ribosomal RNA", at positions 1470 to 1796 of the family's 1831-position model. The record is from RNAcentral.